Molecule: ribosomal RNA, 442 nt
Filed under: Iberotelus inexpectatus
Lineage: Eukaryota; Metazoa; Arthropoda; Insecta; Diptera; Therevidae
Description: partial 16S ribosomal RNA
Rfam family: Bacterial large subunit ribosomal RNA
Source: RNAcentral
AAAUGGCCGCAGUAUUUUAACUGUGCAAAGGUAGCAUAAUCAUUAGUCUUUUAAUUGAAGGCUUGUAUGAAUGGUUGGACGAAAUAUUAACUGUUUCAUAAAAAUUGAUUUAGAAUUUUAUUUUUUAGUUAAAAAGCUAGAAUGUGUUUAAAAGACGAGAAGACCCUAUAGAUCUUUAUAUUUUAUAUGUUAUAAUUAUUUAGUUUAUUUGUUUUAUGAUUAUAUAAAAUAUUUUGUUGGGGUGAUAUUAAAAUUUAAAUAACUUUUAAUUUUAAUUUACAUUAAUUUAUGAAUAGCUGAUCCAUUAGUAAUGAUUAAAAAUUUAAGUUACCUUAGGGAUAACAGCGUAAUUUUUUUGAAGAGUUCAUAUCGAUAAAAAAGAUUGCGACCUCGAUGUUGGAUUAAGAGAUAAUUUUGGGUGCAGCAAUUCAAUUAUUAAGUC